GGCCGGUUAGCUCAGUUGGUUGAGCGUGGUGCUGAAAACACCAAGGUUGCGGGUUCGAUCCCCCUUUGGUCU
Molecule: transfer RNA, 72 nt
Filed under: Apaloderma vittatum (bar-tailed trogon)
Lineage: Eukaryota; Metazoa; Chordata; Aves; Trogoniformes; Trogonidae
Rfam family: tRNA
About the family: Transfer RNA (tRNA) molecules are approximately 80 nucleotides in length. Their secondary structure includes four short double-helical elements and three loops (D, anti-codon, and T loops). Further hydrogen bonds mediate the characteristic L-shaped molecular structure. tRNAs have two regions of fundamental functional importance: the anti-codon, which is responsible for specific mRNA codon recognition, and the 3' end, to which the tRNAs corresponding amino acid is attached (by aminoacyl-tRNA synthetases). tRNAs cope with the degeneracy of the genetic code in two manners: having more than one tRNA (with a specific anti-codon) for a particular amino acid; and 'wobble' base-pairing, i.e. permitting non-standard base-pairing at the 3rd anti-codon position.
Source: Rfam by way of RNAcentral